This is a non-coding RNA of Acanthosepion pharaonis, 102 nucleotides long. The record is from the annotation of a GenBank genome assembly. Lineage: Eukaryota; Metazoa; Mollusca; Cephalopoda; Sepiida; Sepiidae.
UGGCCAUAUGAUAUUGAAACACUAGUUCCCAUAUGAUCACUGAAGUUAAGCAACAUCGAGCCUAGUCAGUACAUGGAUGACCACUUGGGAAUACCAGGUGCU